AAUAGAUACCCCGGUAGUCCACGCCGUAAACGAUGAGUGCUAGGUGUUGGGGGGCAUCACGUCCUCAGUGCCGAAGGAAACCCAAUAAGCACUCCGCCUGGGGAGUACGGCCGCAAGGCUGAAACUCAAAGGAAUUGACGGGGGGCCCGCACAAGCGGUGGAGCAUGUGGUUUAAUUCGAAGCAACGCGAAGAACCUUACCAAGGCUUGACAUCCCAUUGACCGCGCUAGAGAUAGUGCUUCCCUUCGGGGCAAUGGUGACAGGUGGUGCAUGGUUGUCGUCAGCUCGUGUCGUGAGAUGUUGGGUUCAGUCCCGCAACGAGCGCAACCCUUAUCCUUAGUUGCCAGCAGGUAAAGCUGGGCUCUCUAAGGAGACAGCCGGUGAAAGCCGGAGGAAGGUGGGGAUGACGUCAAAUCAUCAUGCCCCUUACGUCUUGGGCUACACACGUGCUACAAUGGAUGGUACAAAGGGCAGCAAAACCGCGAGGUCGAGCAAAUCCCAUAAAGCCAUUCUCAGUUCGGAUUGUAGG
This 529-nucleotide ribosomal RNA is filed under the name uncultured bacterium. Its description in RNAcentral is "bacterial SSU rRNA". It matches the Rfam family "Bacterial small subunit ribosomal RNA", at positions 777 to 1304 of the family's 1533-position model. The record is from RNAcentral.